Molecule: long non-coding RNA, 726 nt
Organism: Motacilla alba alba
Lineage: Eukaryota; Metazoa; Chordata; Aves; Passeriformes; Motacillidae
Exons: 4
Source: RefSeq, a predicted model, not a curated record
GGGUCCCAGUAAGGACUACUGGUGAAACGAGCGAGGAGCGAGCUACUCGGGGGCUGCUGAACAGAGCCCACCAGCGGGGACAGGGCACUGCCCAGGGAGCGCGGCGGCCGGACGUGGCCGCGGAGCCUGCCACAAAGGCGGCCGCUCGGAGCAGGGCGCUGUCAGAGGUGUGAGGAAUCUCGGGGGAGAUGUCACCAGCGAGCCCCGUGCGCGACGGGCCAAGAGGGGCCGGGGAGGAGUCACCGAGCUGGCGGGCAGCGCGGCGCUCCCCGGGGCGAGCCCGGCGCGGGAGGGCAGCGCGGCUCCCGGGGAGCGGGGGCGCCCGCGGGCCGGGCCCGGGGACAGGCGUGGGGCCAGGCGAGGACAGCGGCCGGGCGGCGGCAGCGGGGAAGCUUUGGCAAUUACUUCACAACCAGUAAAUAGCAGCUUGGAGCAUAGGCCCGCAGCUGCAGAGCCAGCAGCCAUGACCCGGUGAGACCACGGCCCUGGGUGCGGGCAGCGCGGGAGGGACCUCUAGGGAAGGGAAGUCCAGAGGAAAAAGGAUGUUAAAGUCCAGCUGUCCAGUGUCCUCACAUUCAGAUUCUGCCAUGACCUGUGCACAACACACACUCUACGACUCCAAAGGCCCGGAGGUUGGGAUGCCAAGAUUCACCAUGUGAGUAUGUUUUGCCAUUUGAAACACAAACUACAGAAGAAAAGAAAAAGAAGAAGAAGUUCAAGUGGAGA